This 1287-nucleotide unclassified non-coding RNA is filed under the name Hevea brasiliensis (rubber tree). Lineage: Eukaryota; Viridiplantae; Streptophyta; Magnoliopsida; Malpighiales; Euphorbiaceae. The record is from RNAcentral.
UUGAAACUUCAAAGUCAAGUGGCUCCUCUCUCUUAGUCGGUUGGACUUCAGAACAUGAUUUUUCCUCAGAAUGGUCAUGUGGCGAUUCGGCCUUGCCUAGCACUGCUUUACAAGUUGGUAAGUCAAGUACCUGCAUUUCGGGUGCCUUUGAAGCUAGUGGUUCGUCAACUAAAAGAGGAGCUUUAGGAACAGAGGGUACAGCAUAAACUGGCGCCAUCCCCAAACCUGAAUGCCUCAUCACCCUAUCUAAUGUGGAAAGCUCCUCUGCCCGAACAGGGGGUGCAGCAUAAACCGGCACUGCCUGUCUUAUACAGACAGGUGGUGCCACUCCCAGACCUGGAGGCCUCAUCACCCUAGGAGGCUGAGAUGAUUGAGGAAGUGGUGGUGCAGAGAAAACAGGAAUUGCAUUCCGUAUGGUCACCGGAGGAGCCAUCCGAUGGUGUGGGCCAAAAUGCCUGACAGGAAUAUAUGGUGCUGCACCAGCAGCAGGGAACUUCUCUGGUCGAACCCUGUGACUAUCCAUAGCAAAGCUGUCCUUUAAAAUAUUAUUUAUGGUUUGAGCAGUCCUUGGACUCAAUGAUGCAUCACUUCCUGUAUUGUCAAUGGGUCUACUUUGAGAAGCAGGUUUUAGACAUAACGGACUGACCGGUCUACUGCGAGGAGCAGUUCUUGGACAUAUUAGGGGAAGAAGUUUUGAUGUAGUAGAUGAAAGCUGCUGUACACUUGAUGGUCUUGGAUUAGGUGUCGGAAAUUUAAUUGGGAAUGAUACUCUAGCCGCCCUAGCCUUCAAAAUGUACCUUUGUAGUGCACGUGCAACAGUUACAUGCUCUUGCUCAUCAUUUCUUCUUCGAUCUGGUUUUGCACUUUCAGACUGCUGUGCCAAUAAUUUCAGAGAUGACCAAGCUGCCAUAGCUGCAUUCUUUUCAGCUUGCUUCUUAUUCUUUGCUGACUCACCAGUAAAUGUAACGCCCGCCAACUCCACUGUGCAGGUAAAGACAGGAAGAUGUCCUAGACCAGAUCUAAAAGUAGUAUAUGCUGGCAAUGAUGCUCCUACUCUUUGUGAAACUUCCUGUAAGAGAUUCUUAUAUACGCCUGUCUCAUCCAGAAUUCUAGCAGCAAGCGAGUUGGAGGGACCUCGAUUAGAGAGUGAAUUCAACGCAACCUCAGCAGCAGAGUGUUCAGCCUGUCGAAGUGUAGAGCAGUAAUUUGGACUCUCAAACACCUCACCAUUGAAAUUAACCGUAGCCUUAAACCUAGGCGCAUGAUCCGGACCUUCCCUUAUACAAG